CAAACUUGAGAGUUUGAUCCUGGCUCAGAACGAACGCUGGCGGCAUGCCUAACACAUGCAAGUCGAACGAACCCUUCGGGGUGAGUGGCGCACGGGUGCGUAACGCGUGGGAACCUGCCUUUAGGUUCGGAAUAACAGUUAGAAAUGACUGCUAAUACCGGAUAAUGUCUUCGGACCAAAGAUUUAUCGCCUUUAGAUGGGCCCGCGUUAGAUUAGAUAGUUG
Molecule: ribosomal RNA, 223 nt
Filed under: Erythrobacter sp.
Lineage: Bacteria; Pseudomonadati; Pseudomonadota; Alphaproteobacteria; Sphingomonadales; Erythrobacteraceae
Description: partial 16S ribosomal RNA
Rfam family: Bacterial small subunit ribosomal RNA
Source: RNAcentral